Molecule: ribosomal RNA, 442 nt
Filed under: uncultured bacterium
Lineage: Bacteria
Description: partial 16S ribosomal RNA
Rfam family: Bacterial small subunit ribosomal RNA
Source: RNAcentral
CCUACGGGAGGCAGCAGUAGGGAAUCUUUCACAAUGGGCGAAAGCCUGAUGGAGCAACGCCGCGUGCAGGAUGAAGGCCUUCGGGUUGUAAACUGCUUUUAUAAGCGAGAAAUAUGAUGGUAACUUAUGAAUAAGGAUCGGCUAACUACGUGCUAGCAGCCGCGGUCAUACGUAGGAUCCGAGCAUUAUCCGGAGUGACUGGGUGUAAAGAGUUGCGUAGGUGGCAUAAUAAGUAGCUAGUGAAAUCUGGUGGCUCAACCAUUCAGACUAUUAGCUAAACUGUUAAGCUCGAGACCGUUAGGGGUAACUGGAAUUUCUAGUGUAGGAGUGAAAUCCGUAGAUAUUAGAAGGAACACCAAUAGCGUAGGCAGGUUGCUGGGACGGUUCUGACACUAAGGCACGAAAGCGUAGGGAGCAAACGGGAUUAGAUACCCCUGUAGUC